This 401-nucleotide ribosomal RNA is filed under the name uncultured bacterium. Its description in RNAcentral is "bacterial SSU rRNA". It matches the Rfam family "Bacterial small subunit ribosomal RNA", at positions 11 to 416 of the family's 1533-position model. The record is from RNAcentral.
GUUUGAUCCUGGCUCAGAGCGAACGUUUGCGGCGGGGCCUAACACAUGCAAGUCGAACGCACUAGCAAUAGUGAGUGGCGCACGGGUGCGUAACACGUGGGUAAUCAACCCUUCAGCUUGGGAUAACGACUUGAAAGGGUCGCUAAUACCGGAUACGGCGAGAGAGGCUUCGGCAUUUCUCGAGAAAGCCUCGCAAGGGGCACUGAAGGACGAGCCUGCGGCCCAUCAGCUAGUUGGUGAGGUAAGAGCUCACCAAGGCGAAGACGGGUAGCUGGUCUGAGAGGAUGAUCAGCCACACUGGAACUGAGACACGGUCCAGACUCCUACGGGAGGCAGCAGUGGGGAAUAUUGCGCAAUGGGCAAAAGCCUGACGCAGCCACGCCGCGUGAGCGAUGAAGGCC